ACCAGUAUUUCUUAGCACUCUUUGCCAUCCCUAGUGGGGUCACAUGAGAACUCAAAAGGAUCUCAUAGUGUUUUUGCUAGAAAGGAAAUAAUCUUUAAUUGUCAGCAACAGCUCAGUAAUUACAGCUGGUUUGCCCCUGCUGAGCCCUGGUGGAACUGAGGUGUUGCCAGUAAUUAAAAUGUAUUAGCUAUUUUCUGAUUAGUAUAAAUAUUUGCAGGAAGUGAUUAAAGCUGAAAAUAGAAGGGGGGAGAAAGGGGUGUUAGUCAAAGGCAGUCACCUGCAAAAAAGGAAGGGCACAUGCAGAAAGUUUGAGAGUUGCUGAAUUAGGACAGUUAUUUUUUUCCUCUCAAACAUCGUUUGCAUCUGCUGCAAACGGGCUGGAUGGUGAAUCAGCACCUCUUCAUGCAAAUAUCCCUUCAUUUAACCAACCACAAAUUAAACCAAUCAAGCAAACCCAGCACAGGCCCUUUGUUGCUUAAUUAAGUUCCCAGGUAGCUGUGGGACAGGAGGUGGAGGGCCAGGUAGCUCUUAUUGCUAUGAUGUGCUCUAAUGCCUGGCAGAUGUUUGUGCUAUGGAUCUGAAGGUGCAAGGAGGAGACAAAGGGAUGAAGCUGGACAUGGCUGUGUGCACAGGGGUGGCACAAACCAGCCGCAGCAUCCUCGGUGCCAAGGCUGCCAACUGGAUCCCAUCUCCCCCACCACAGCAGCUCCCCUGCAGCCCUGCAUGAAAAAAACAAGCUAUGGACCUCUGAAGAAGCCCCAGAGACUUUAAUGUGGACUGCAAUGCAGCAAAGAGCUUCUCCUAAGGAAGAAGUGACCAGUUGGGUCCGAAUUGGAGCUGUUGCAGGGCUCGAAGUCUGCUGGAAGCUGUUGGUGCCUCCUUCUCUUCUGGGUCAGCAUUUUUGGGGUACGGAGUGCGUUUGUAAUGCUAACGACUAUUUCCUCCCUCUUCUAAAGGGAAGGGAAGUUCUAGGCCACCAUUAGGCAGAAGCAGUGCAUUUCAGAGGUGGGAUGAACCUACGACACCUCUGUACUUCUUCCUCUGAACCAGGGCAGCCGCCUGGAGCUGCUCUGCACGGUGUCACAGGCUGCCUGUCUAGGUGGAGACAUUCAGGGGCUCGGCCGUGGCUGUGUCUUGAUGCACUUAAGCUCCGGGAUCACCCUGCGAGAAGGAAGGACCAGGUGUUGUGGCUGGGCCACGAGGUUUGGAAAGGGCACCUCGGGUCUUCUCGCCCUGGGUGUGCGUCUCAGAAACACAGCAAAGACCCAAAGGCAGAGGAAAGUUUUGUGACAGCGGCUCGUGGUAGCGAAAGGAGCAGGAAACGCUCAGCCUCACGGGCUGUGUCUCGCUGAAAGGUUAAGGAACCGCCAAAUGUCAACUUCCCCUUCAGGAGAUAACACUUGAGACUAAGUGCGAGGUGAUCUUUAAACUGAAAAAGCUCUGACAAACAAGGCGCCCAGCAGGGUGCUCCUCUCAGGCUCUUUGCCCUCAGGCCACCCUUUCUGUAGCUGGCAGGUAUCGCUGCCUUUCUGUGGGCAGCCCUGACAUUUAGCUCCCUGUGUGUAUCGCAUUAAUUGGGUGUUCUCCCUUUGCCCAGUCGUGGCGAAGCAUCACAGCACUGAUAGGGUAGUGAGAAAGAUGACCUUUGAAAUGGCCACUCUGAGAGGAGUGUGGGCUUUCAUGCCAUGCAGCAUCACAGUCCUCGGUAUCUCAAGUUAAAUUACACAGCUGGACAAAGACGGCUACGUGCUGGGUGAGUGGUCACUUAAUAUAUAUUUUUGUAAUAAUAAAUGUAGUUCUUGGCAUGAGCAAAAUACCUCAGUGCAGUAAAAUGCAGCCGAUUGGGAUUAUUUUUCUGACGUGGCAAAGAGAAAUGUAGCGUCUUGCAGGGAAAGGAGCCCUGUAUCAGGGCUGGUACAUCAGCCUGGCUUGGGAAUAGCUCUUUUAGGAAAAAAAUUAUUCAUCUUCUCCUCUCUUCUUCCUCAGGAGCAGUCUGUUAGGAGAGCCACUCGUGCUGGGGUUAAUUCUUGGGGAGGGAGCUUUGCAAGGGUUUGCGAGACCGAGCCCAGGCCCUGCCCAAGCUGUGAGCACUCGCUGGCUGCCUGCAGUCACUCACCUGCUUUGGAGGCUGCCUCUGCAGCGAAGUCUGCAGCAAACUUCUUGAGCACCUCAGCACUUUCUUCCUUGACGAAAAGCCCGAUGAAGUUCGAGGACGUGUAGAGCUCCAGAGGCAGAGGGGCAGGGAAUUUGCACUUCCACCGCAUCACGGUGGCCUGCAGAGCUUCAGUGAGAGCAUCGACCUUGCUGUCCUCGCACUGCCGAAGGAAAGAGGACAACCAUUGCAUUACGCCUGUGCUUAGCUCUGGGUGCACUCAGAGAAAGGAAGGGCUUGGGUGGAUGAGCAGGAAGGGUAGAAAAAGCCCCGGGUCACAGAAAUAGGGGUCAGGCAUCAUCUGUCCCCCACUUGCCCCUGAAGCAGGAUCAGCUGCCCCAAAGCAGCCUUCCUAACCUCACCCCAGUGCUGCCUAUUCCCAUGUUAACAGUCACUGGAGGUUACAAGAAUUUGGUCUGCUGCUCCUCCCUGAAAACACCUUGCUAAAAAACCAAUUCCCUCCCCGAGAAGCCCAGCCAUCAGACAGUUCUGGUCCUAACACCCCCGAACUCCGAGCACAAAAACCCGUCUGCAGCGACUGAACAAAGUGUGCAGCACCUCCAGCCCGAGCCUGGUGAGGGCCGCUCAUCAAUGCGUGCAUGAAGGCAGCAAAAAGAGGAGCUCUGGUUUACCAUAAAGAACUGGCAGAGGGUGAUAUGUGGGAAAAUGUUGUGAGCUUUGUUCUUCCCACAGAUCUGCUUUGACUGCUGCCAGAACUCGGAGAGCUUCUGAGCCAGGGGGCCGGUGGGGCGCAGGUAGAGGACGUACUCCCGGGGCAGGGUGUCAUCGAGGAAUGGGUCACCCACAUGGGAGAACAGCCUGAGGGGGAGAAAGAAGUGUUAGAUGGACAUACAAAGGCAUGUUUAUUUUAUAUUUUUUUCCAGCAGAAUCAGCCUGUCCUCGCUCCCUUUCCUUCUCCCUUUAUGGAAAAAAUCAGCUCUUAGAGGUCAGGCGGAGAGCUGCGCUGUCUCUCUUGCAGCCCAUUACCGCUCCUAAGUAACACACAAAAUGGGUUUGUAGCUUCAGACCGAGGCUCUGAAGAUCUACCCUCCGUCACUGCUUCUGCCUCUCUGACAUUAGAGGUACAAAACACGGCAGGGAAAGCGCUGGAAAUUGCUCAACAUCUUUGCGAAGGUGGCUCUCGGGUUGGUGUUUGGGCACCAGGGUGGAGAGCAGCAGUUCCUCCUCUCACCUUGCUGUUGCUGUUACGUGUGAUCACAACCUCCCUCAGCCAAGGCUUGCUUCUUGGUUGCUUAUUUGCAGCACUUAAAUAAUAGCUCUCUAAUUUUGCUACUGCUUUCCAGGCAGUGCCCUUGUUAAAAGAAAACUUCUGCCAUAACAUUUUACAUCCUACUGGCUAAAAUCGUAGCCUUUCCAUUCACUGAUUCCUUUUUCUCUUUUGAACAUUUAUUACUUCAUACCAACCAGUCGCAUGCUGCUUGAACGCUUCGUCCACCUGUUGAUGCCAGUGCUUUUUGUCUGAAAAGAAAGCAGAAAAAAAAAAAGGCUAUUUCAGUUGGAUUGUAUGGACAUAGCCUCAUCUAUUGUUUGAGCCGAGCAAGAUAGACAUCUUUAAUCUCACAUUAGGCAGGAGCUAAGUUCUGCCUUAACUCCCUCCAAGCAGGGUUACAUAUUGUGAAUACUCACAGAAAAACUGAGUCAAGUUUUGGGGUGAAGCCUAGGAUAAUUAAAAUAAUUACAGCCGUACACCGAGCAUCCAAACCAAGUGCGCCAUGUGUUGCCAGCCUAGUCCUGCAAUGAUUUAUCUGAACCUCUGGAUUUUCCCUGGUGCUUUUCUGGAUAGUGAAGAACCUUCUAGCAGACUUCUUGCUAAUGGCAUCUAAUGGCCUCUGCGCUGGGCAUUGGCUCAGCAGGGAAACGAAAAGGGUUGGCUCUGAGGUACAGGCACUGCAGUGGCACUGAGGACCAGAGAAAUGCAGCUGCCACCAGGGGGCACAAAGCCGAGAUUUUUCAGGUUAGAGGAACCUGCCAAAAUUUGCUAGCACUCUUCAGUCCUUAUUGCAUGAAUGUGCACUUCUUUUGCUUUUUUUUUCCCCUUCGGGAUGCCUCAAUAUCCCUUUUCCCCCAGCUUUUAGCACCAAAGUCUUCUGUUCAGCAAGUUGUUCAGGUGCAGAACAACCCAGUGCGACGCUGCCUUUUUAUCCCAGUCGAGUUUUCCAAAAUGCUCAGCAUCAGCAGCGAAAUGCAGCUGUGGAUCAGCUCAGCUUUGUGACGCCAGAGACUGCCAAAACGAAGAAUUCACCCAGAAUCCAGCAGGCAGAAACGUUUAGCAAAAAGAUAUGAAUGAAGGAGGCAGGGACAUCUUCCCCAGUGUCAGCCAGCAGGGAACGCAUCCAGGCCCUGGUGCAGCUCCUGCUGAGGGCAGAGCCCUGCUGUUAACGACACAAAAUCUGACCGAGGAUGGGAAAAGUUCGAGUUUCCAGUGGGCAGCCUCAAGCCCUAACCUAACCUUACUAACUGUGGUGUGUUACAGCCUAAUAAUAACUCCGAAAGCUUGCUGACAUCUCGAAGCCAGAGGGAAUGUGUCUGGCCCAAGGGAUAGGAUGGGUGUGCUGUGUGGAGGUGCUGGGGGUUGGCUCUAAAAAAUGGGUGCAAAGAAGGGAAAAGGCUCAUGACUGCAGGGUCCCGGGGCCUUGGCUGUAGGAUUAGGGCAGCAGGGACCCUCUGGCAUUUCUUGCUUCUGCAGGGCUUGUGCUGAGCUUCCGCUGCCCUUUCUGCGUGCAGCGCUGACUUUUGAAAGCCCUCUGAUAACCAGGCGGGAGGGCGAAACAUCGCCCGCUUGGUCAGAGACGCGUGUUGUUGACUCAGCUGUGUUUCGGCUCUGCCAUUGGCUUCCCCACCCCGUGAAUAUACAUAUUUCUGUUCAUUUGGAGAGCAAGAGGAAGGCAGAAAGAUAAUGCUGCAAAAAAAAAAAAAAAAAAGAGCUGUGUUGCAAAGGGGCGAUUAUGAAAAUACUUCCUCCUGAGCCGCUCUGCUGCCCUUAUCUGCCAGCAUUCAUCUGAGAUCAGUGGGCUGCUGGGCCAGGCACCUGCCUUCUGGAAGGAUGCAUUGUGCACGGUCAACAUCACAGCCCGCUCUGUUCUGUCAGAGAAGCUCUGGCCCUGAUGGGAGCAGUUUCUCCAGCUGCAAGGCGAGGGCAGACAAGCUGGCUGUCCUCCUUGUUUGCUCUCCCCAGACCCCGGAGCAGAGCUGCGAAGGAGUCAAGCACAACCUAGCGGGACGAUGGAGCUCUGCUGGAUUUCCCUGCAGCUCCUUCUCCGCUGCCUUUGUACUCGCAGGACCCCAAAAGGCAUCAGAAAACAUUGGGCUGGGCCCCCCAUGCUUCGUUCAUGAGUGCUUUCAAUAGGUGCCUCUCUCCUCCACAGGGACAAUAAAACUCCCUUCCCAAUUUAAUUUUCAGUGCAAGGAGGAACUGCUGCAUCAAGCAAACAAAGGGCGAGGUAUAUUUUUAUCACGGGACCUGAAAUGGAGAGAAUUUUAUUUCUUUUUUAAUUUAACGCUGGGAAUGAAGUUGAUGGCUGAUAGCUCCUGGUUAGGCACGGAACAGGGCAUGCCCCAAAUCCCUCCCCAAUACCCAUCUUUGCAGGCAGAGCUGGGAGAGGAGCCACCUCUGGGUGCCCCGCUGUCAAAAUCGCCUUUUAAAAAGCUGAGCACUCGAGGCCAGUCACGG
This is a non-coding RNA of Anas platyrhynchos (mallard), 5843 nucleotides long. The record is from RefSeq and is a predicted model, not a curated record. Lineage: Eukaryota; Metazoa; Chordata; Aves; Anseriformes; Anatidae.